GACGAACGUUGGCGGCGUGCUUAAUACAUGCAAGUCAACUGAAGCACCGGUAGUAAUACUGGUGUGGAGGUGGCGCACGGGUGAGUAACACGUAGGUAAUCUGCCUUCAGGUCUGACAUAACCCCGAGAAAUCGGGGCUAAUAGCAGAUGAUGCAGCGGCUUGACAUCAAGACAGUUGUUAAAGCUUCGGCGCCUGAAGAUGAGCCUGCGUCUGAUUAGCUAGUUGGCGGAGUAAUAGCCCACCAAGGCGACGAUCAGUAGCUGGUCUGAGAGGAUGAUCAGCCACACUGGAACUGAGACACGGUCCAGACUCCUACGGGAGGCAGCAGUAAGGAAUAUUGCUCAAUGGGAGAAAUCCUGAAGCAGCAACGCCGCGUGAGGGAUGAAGGGCUUUUGCUCGUAAACCUCUGUAGUGAGGGAAAAAAUUUCCAUUCUAUGGAAUAUGAUGGUACCUCAAAGUAAGCCCCGGCUAACUACGUGCCAG
RNAcentral lists this ribosomal RNA (484 nucleotides) under uncultured bacterium. RNAcentral describes it as "bacterial SSU rRNA". It matches the Rfam family "Bacterial small subunit ribosomal RNA", at positions 28 to 511 of the family's 1533-position model. The record is from RNAcentral.